GCAAACUUGGUCAUUUAGAGGAAGUAAAAGUCGUAACAAGGUCUCCGUUGGUGAACCAGCGGAGGGAUCAUUACCGAGUUUUCAACUCCCAAACCCACUGUGAACUUACCUUUACUGUUGCUUCGGCGGGUCUCGGCCCCGGCGCUGCCCUCUCCUCCUCGGGGGAGCGGGCGAGCCGGACAACACGGCCCCCGCCGGAGGAUUCAAACUCUUGAAUUUGCGCGGCUUGCCCGCGGCAGUCUUUGUAUUCUGAUUAACUUUUACAAAAUGAAUCAAAACUUUCAACAACGGAUCUCUUGGUUCUGGCAUCGAUGAAGAACGCAGC
This 325-nucleotide unclassified non-coding RNA is filed under the name uncultured fungus. RNAcentral's name for it is "partial contains small subunit ribosomal RNA, internal transcribed spacer 1, and 5.8S ribosomal RNA". The stretch from base 1 to 73 matches the Rfam family "Eukaryotic small subunit ribosomal RNA", at positions 1759 to 1831 of the family's 1831-position model. Lineage: Eukaryota; Fungi. The record is from RNAcentral.